GGAGAGAUGGCUCAGCUGCUAAGAGCGCUGACUGCUCUUCCAGAGGUCCUGAGUUCAAAUCCCAGCAACCACA
RNAcentral lists this transfer RNA (73 nucleotides) under Mus musculus (house mouse). Its description in RNAcentral is "tRNA-Ser". The record is from RNAcentral. Lineage: Eukaryota; Metazoa; Chordata; Mammalia; Rodentia; Muridae.